UGGAUUAUGUUCGAAGAACUAUGCAUGUUGACAUAUAUGGAUUAUGUUAGAAGAACUAUGCAUGUUGAACUUGGGUCGAUAACUCUAGGUUGAUUAGAGAGUUCGACAUUGGAAAAUAAGAAUAUGAAAACUAUGAUACUUGAUGUGGACUAGUAGAUUGUCAAGUAGAUCGAGUGGCAUUUGGACUAGUGUAGUAGAAACACUAUGAUAUGCUUUGGAACUCGUGUAGUAGAGACACUUGUUGUAAGGUACCGGACUUCUAAAAUUAUGAAGUUACGGUGUACAUUUGGUUUGAAAGCCAUUUGAAUGGUUCCGGUGAGGUUGCAGUGGAAUGUAAUAUACCGGAUUUUAAAUAUAAAAAUAAAAAUAAAUAAAAAUAGUGUGAGAUACUAUUUUUAUUGGAUUUAGAGGAGUAAAACAUAAGUCUGAAGUGACUUGUGUUGAAAUCGGAAUGAAAACAGAAGAUCUAGAAUUUUCUGUUGGAAACGAGGUAGAUAAAUUAGCAGAAAAUGCACAGUAUCAGAAAAUUAUGAAAACUGGAGGAUAAGUCAGAAUUAUUUUUAUGAGGCUAGAUUUAAAGUUUCAUGUCAUUCUGACACCCGGAAGGUGGAAAAUAAAAUCCGACAGCUAUCUGAUAAAGAUUACAGUUUGGUACAGUUUUCAGUGACCAAACGGGGUCGAAACUGAAAACUUAAGAUAUAUUCUUACUCAGUACGUUAAACCGAGCCUGCCUGUCAAAUUUGAGCCCAAACGGACAUUCAGAAGGGCUCCGACUGUUCCGAACUGCUAAACUGCCCGGAAGUGAAUAGUGUUUUGGGGUGUAAU
Molecule: long non-coding RNA, 825 nt
Filed under: Ananas comosus (pineapple)
Lineage: Eukaryota; Viridiplantae; Streptophyta; Magnoliopsida; Poales; Bromeliaceae
Description: long non-coding RNA (ACOM_LNC023918)
Source: RNAcentral